Long non-coding RNA from Haliotis rufescens (red abalone), 1638 nucleotides. RefSeq lists it as uncharacterized. The record is from RefSeq and is a predicted model, not a curated record. The transcript has 4 exons. NCBI's taxonomy places the organism in Eukaryota, Metazoa, Mollusca, Gastropoda, Lepetellida, Haliotidae.
AACAACAUAUGGUUGAUAUCUAUCUCUUAGUUCCAGAGAAGAAGUCGUUGAAAACAAUAACGCCAAAUUACUCCUAUUUAGCCCUGCCCCCCAGCCCCUUGGAGGGAUAGCCCGGCCCUCCAUUUGUACAAUUUUGAAUCCCCACGACCGGAGAGUGCUUCCAACCAAAUAUGGUUGAUAUAUAUCUCUUAGUUCCAGUUCAGAAGAAGAAGUCAAAGAUUUAGGAUAACUGUAAGGUGCUGCUUUCUGUUCGUACGUAAACAUGUUCACAAACCACAUACAGCAAACUACGGUUAUAACAAACUCAAAGGGACCACUAAUGUUGGUUUGUUAAAACCGUAGUUGAUUAUAAGCAUAUAUUCAGCAAAUGGCCGGGACAAAAUAAACGUUUGUUAUAUCCAUCAGUUUGUUAUAAGCGUGUUUAUUAUAUACAUAGUUUACUGUAGCGCAAGAUAAUGUAAAAGGCAGAAUAACACAUUUACUACAAACCAAUUCACCUAUAGUAUUACAAUAAUUUAUACUUAACAUUACAUAAAAAGAUCAUUUAACUGCAGGGGGGUCUCAGUACACGCUCUUAAACAACUAUUAAAGUUUUCCUAUUAAAUGUACCCUUACUCGUGCAAGCAUAUGAUCUUAACACCAAUGAUACAGAGAAAAAAACAUUUUCACAACUGCUUCACAACAAUUUUAGAUUUAGAUACUUCAGGAAACUAGAAUUUAGCAUCUAUAACAUAGAUAUUGAUAUCACAUUACUGAGCAAGCUGACACAGGAUAUCUCCACUGAAAAAUUGUGUUUAUUUAAACUGCUGAAUAUUAACACAGUUAUCAUGAGAAAGUAGAAAUUUUAUAUAUUGCCAAAAUUUGUUUCGGAGGAAAAGUUAGCUUUAUCUGGUCACACCACAUUUUUUGAUGACGUAGUACGCAUUUCUUUCCCUGUUGUUGAAAGUGCACACUCACUCCAACCGUGUGAAGGACUUUAAUCUUCUUUAGCUUUGAAAGAGAUCGAAUUUUAAAUCACUUAUUCUUUCAAAGGAACAAUAAGGCAUAACUAAAGUACACAGACAGGUAUACCAUUGUGACGCAUGCGCAGUUACUUUCCUGUUCCUGUUUGUGAAAGUGCACACUCACUCCAACUGCGUGAAGGACUUUAAUCUUCUUUAGCUUUGAAAGAGAUCGAAUUGUUCAAAGGAACAACAAGGCAUAACUAAAGUACACAGACAGAUACUGAAGGGGCAUCGAGCAUCCAUUUUGUUCAGUCACGAUAGUACGAGCAGAGACAGGAAGAAAAUGUCGUGUCCGGUAAGUCAAUAUUCUAAAACAUUUCUUUUUGUUACAGUUCAUGUAAUAUAGAAAUAUCAUUGUUAAUAAUUGUAAGAAUACUACUUCUAUAUGACAAUGUUAGUUUUAAUACAGGAUUUUUUAAUUAUGGCAAUGAUGUAGAGAGAUAGAGGUAGUGUCUUUUUAAGAAUUAUGUAAUACAGAAAUAACGACCCAGGAUCGACUUUAAACAGGCAAAUUAUUGUUGUUUCAUUUUACCCGCUGACGGAUUAACGCCCAUGUCACAUCUCUUUUUGAGGAACUAUUUUACUCCGCGAUAUAGCUGGUUGUUGUAUGGCUGUCAGUGUAAACAUGAAGUCA